Molecule: ribosomal RNA, 390 nt
Filed under: uncultured bacterium
Lineage: Bacteria
Description: bacterial SSU rRNA
Rfam family: Bacterial small subunit ribosomal RNA
Source: RNAcentral
AAUGAACGCUGGCGGCGCGCCUAAUACAUGCAAGUCGAGCGAGAAGACGUAGCAAUACGUUUGUAAAGCGGCGAACGGGUGAGGAAUACAUGGGUAACCUACCCUCGAGUGGGGAAUAACUAGCCGAAAGGUUAGCUAAUACCGCGUACGCUCCUUGGACUUCGGUUCAGGGAGGAAAGCGAUACCGUGGGUAUCGCGCUCUUGGUUGGGCUCAUGUCCUAUCAGCUUGUUGGUGAGGUAACGGCUCACCAAGGCUUCGACGGGUAGCUGGUCUGAGAGGACGAUCAGCCACACUGGCACUGCGACACGGGCCAGGCUCCUACGGGAGGCAGCAGUAAGGAAUAUUGCGCAAUGGGCGAAAGCCUGACGCAGCGACGCCGCGGUGGGGGA